RNAcentral lists this unclassified non-coding RNA (400 nucleotides) under soil metagenome. RNAcentral's name for it is "partial contains 5.8S ribosomal RNA, internal transcribed spacer 2, and large subunit ribosomal RNA". The stretch from base 1 to 122 matches the Rfam family "5.8S ribosomal RNA", at positions 35 to 154 of the family's 154-position model. The record is from RNAcentral.
GAUGAAGAACGUAGCGAAAUGCGAUACUUGGUGUGAAUUGCAGAAUCCCGUGAACCAUCGAGUCUUUGAACGCAAGUUGCGCUUCAAGCCAUUAGGUUGAGGGCACGUCUGCCUGGGCGUCACAUAUCGUUGCCUGAUGCCAGUUUCCUCGUGAUGGGUGACUGUGCAGGCCGAAUGAUGGCUUCCCGUGAGCAUUGUUGCCUCAUGGUUGGUUGAAAAUUGAGUCCUUGGUAGGGAGCGCCGUGAUAGAUGGUGGUUGAGUGACGAACGAGACCCAAUCAUGUGAGACCCCUACCGAAUUUGGCCUUCAUGACCCACAUGCGUCUUUGGAACGCUCAUGACGAGACCUCAGGUCAGGCGGGGCUACCCGCUGAGUUUAAGCAUAUCAAUAAGCGGAGGA